Molecule: ribosomal RNA, 441 nt
Filed under: uncultured bacterium
Lineage: Bacteria
Description: partial 16S ribosomal RNA
Rfam family: Bacterial small subunit ribosomal RNA
Source: RNAcentral
CCUACGGGAGGCAGCAGUGGGGAAUAUUGCACAAUGGGGGAAACCCUGAUGCCGCGACGCCGCGUGAGUGAAGAAGUAUUUCGGUAUGUAAAGCUCUAUCAGCAGGAACGAGACAAGACGGUACCUGACUAAGAAGCCCCGGCUAACUACGUGCCAGCAGCCGCGGUACUACGUAGGGGGCAAGCGUUAUCCGGAAUCACUGGGUGUAAAGGGAGCGUAGACGGCUGUGCAAGCCUGAAGUGAAAGGCGGGGGCCCAACCCCUGGACUGCUUUGGGAACUGUACGGCUGGAGUGCAGGAGAGGUAAGUGGAAUUCCUAGUGUAGCGGUGAAAUGCGUAGAUAUUAGGAGGAACACCAGUGGCGAAGGCGGCUUACUGGACUGUAACUGACGUUGAGGCUCGAAAGCGUGGGGAGCAAACAGGAUUAGAGACCCGAGUAGUC